GAUUCAUCUUGAUAUGCUGUUCAUCUUUAGGCCCCUAGAAGAUGGAUUUUUCAGCUUAUGCAAAAGGGUAGGGUUUUCUCUUUUGCUUUCCAGUUGGAGUGAGAGUGGGAGUAUUUCAUUUAAAAAGUCUAGAGACAGAGAUUUUUGGCAUAAUUCUAUGUAUGAAAAGUGUAACUAAUUGGCAAGGGAAAGGCCUGUCUUAUAGAUGCUCUUCUAUGAAGGUAAAGCCAGGAUCCUGGGAAGGAGUGGGAUGGAGAGAAGUGAUCAAGAGAACUGGACUGAGAGUGGAAAGCACAGAUGAAAAACCAGAGCCUCGGUAAACUGCUAGGUGAUUAUCUGAAGCGGGUUCUCAAUUAAUGGUGCCAGCCUCAGUGGUCUCCAGAGCUGCCAGCCUCCCAUUCAGUGACCUAGGUGGCCACAGACAUCUGACUAUCAUUGUGAAGUUUCAGAAAGUCUGAAUAAACAUCAACAUUUUCAUAAAGAAGCCGAGAAAUUCCAGAUGCAGCAAGCCAGUGAGAGAAAUGCUGUGGAAAGGAAGUGGUAACAGGCACUCCCACAUCUCUUGGACAGACAUUCACAUUUUCUACUCAGGGCAUCUACUUACCCCCAAAUGUA
Molecule: long non-coding RNA, 615 nt
Filed under: Homo sapiens (human)
Lineage: Eukaryota; Metazoa; Chordata; Mammalia; Primates; Hominidae
Description: HSALNT0057537
Source: RNAcentral